AGAGUUUGAUUAUGGCUCAGGAUGAACGCUAGCUACAGGCUUAACACAUGCAAGUCGAGGGGCAGCAUGGUCUUAGCUUGCUAAGGCUGAUGGCGACCGGCGCACGGGUGAGUAACACGUAUCCAACCUGCCGUCUACUCUUGGCCAGCCUUCUGAAAGGAAGAUUAAUCCAGGAUGGGAUCAUGAGUUCACAUGUCCGCAUGAUUAAAGGUAUUUUCCGGUAGACGAUGGGGAUGCGUUCCAUUAGAUAGUAGGCGGGGUAACGGCCCACCUAGUCAACGAUGGAUAGGGGUUCUGAGAGGAAGGUCCCCCACAUUGGAACUGAGACACGGUCCAA
RNAcentral lists this ribosomal RNA (337 nucleotides) under uncultured bacterium. Its description in RNAcentral is "bacterial SSU rRNA". It matches the Rfam family "Bacterial small subunit ribosomal RNA", at positions 8 to 334 of the family's 1533-position model. The record is from RNAcentral.